AUCGAGUCUUUGACGCAUAUUGCGCCUAUUGGUAUUCCAUUGGGCAUGUCUGUUUGAGCGUCAUUACAAACCCUCGACCCAGGUCGGUUUUGAGCUGGCUUAACGGGUGCAAACCCAAGCCGGUUUUAAAGUUGUAGGCUUUGCUGACAGCUGCUCCAAACCAACAACAUAGUAAAACAUACUUGUUCUAGGUGGGGUGGUUCCNGCCUUGAAAAUGACACUUGUGGUUUGACCUCAGAUCAGAUAAGGAUACCCGCUGAACUUAAGCAUAUCAAUAAGCGGAGGAAAAGAAACCAACAGGGAUUGCCUCAGUAACGGCGAGUGAAGCGGCAAUAGCUCAAAUUUGAAAUCUGGAGCCUUCGGCUUCCGAGUUGUAAUUUGAAGAGGAUGUUUCGGUUGCGGCCACGGCCCAAGUUCCUUGGAACAGGACGUCAUGGAGGGUGAGAAUCCCGUACCUGGCUGUUGGCUUGCUUCCAUGUGAAACUCCUUCGAAGAGUCGAGUUGUUUGGGAAUGCAGCUCAAAAUGGGUGGUAAAUUUCAUCUAAAGCUAAAUAUUGGCGGGAGACCGAUAGCGCACAAGUAGAGUGAUCGAAAGAUGAAAAGCACUUUGAAAAGAGAGUUAAACAGUACGUGAAAUUGUUGAAAGGGAAGCGCUUGCAAUCAGACUCGCUUUCGGUUGAUCAACGUUCCUUCUGGUUCGUGCACUCUGCCGUUGGCGGGCCAGCAUCAGCUGGGGCGGUGGGACAAAGACUUCAGGAA
This 759-nucleotide ribosomal RNA is filed under the name Drechslerella dactyloides. RNAcentral's name for it is "eukaryotic LSU rRNA". The stretch from base 230 to 759 matches the Rfam family "Eukaryotic large subunit ribosomal RNA", at positions 1 to 534 of the family's 3401-position model. Lineage: Eukaryota; Fungi; Ascomycota; Orbiliomycetes; Orbiliales; Orbiliaceae. The record is from RNAcentral.